This 1301-nucleotide long non-coding RNA is filed under the name Heterocephalus glaber (naked mole-rat). Its description in RNAcentral is "lncRNA (ENSHGLG00100028600.2)". The record is from RNAcentral. Lineage: Eukaryota; Metazoa; Chordata; Mammalia; Rodentia; Bathyergidae.
GGGUGGCACCGCGACAGUCGCGUCCCGGGGGCCUCGUCCUCGCCACCUCCCCGCUGCGGGCCGGGGCACUCGGGGCUUCCUGCCCUCAGAACUGUGCCCUGGGUGUGCACGUGGGGCCGAGGGUCCCCUGGCCUGGGCGAGGGUGCAGGGACCCGAAACUGGGUGACUCUUCCCGGUCCCGGUGUGGCUGUCCUGUAACCAUGACGACUGCGGGCUUUGGCACGUGGAUGUGGAUGCAGAGCCUGAAGGCAGGGAUUGGGCAGGUGGUGCAGGGUGAGGGGCCCCUGGGGACGGACCUGCUGGGAGCUGCAGCUGCCCCGAGCUGGGCUCCCUGUGCGUGGUGACAGGGCCUUUGCAGCUGGGGACCAGGUGAUGGACGGUCAGGGGCGGGGAGGGGCCUUGUCCGUGGGCAGGGAGCACAGGAAGUCGAUGUGGGCGAGAUAGGAAGAGCUGAGAGGCCGCAGAGGCGUUAAAUGGCUCCGACUGACUGGGCGGCCACACUCGGAUGGAAUUUACCCAUUUAGGAAGUUUCCCACUUCAGGACAGGACGUUUGUCGAACACCUGUUGUGUCCCAUGUGCUUUGUACAGUAGCAGGAUUAAUAAUCCUUGCAAUGGCCCCCACAUGUUAUUACUCUCUUCUUGAUGCAAGAGGGAGCACCCAAGGUUUACAGUGUGUUGUCCCACUUUGGCUUUCUGUUCUAAACAGUUACAGCUCCGGAAACUCAUGUUGAUAGCUAGAUGGACUAAGCAGCCACCCUCAUUCUAAAGCUGAGGAUAGAGGGUCUGAGGUGUGGACUGCGGAGACCCUGGGUAGCAGAGUUCUGCCUGCAGGGGGUCUCUGUCGGCCACCUCAGAAAACAGCUCCCACCGAGGUGAAGACCUUUCCAGCUCCGGGGUGUGGCUGUCCCCCGAAUGGAGCGUCUCUGUGCAGGGCACGCAAGGCCUCGGGGCAUGUGGAGUCCCCGGAACUGGAACGUGUGGGCAGCGUGGGUGACCUGUGCUUGCACAGGCCUCGUUGUGUCUGUCACCUGUUGGAUCACAGGCGCUCCGACCAGGUCUGCACACCAGGAAGCAAAGGAACAUGGCUCAUUCCCAGGGAAUCCAGGAGCGUGCAGAGACUCCUGAAGAAGCAGGCACGUUGGACUACCGGCUUGAGCUUGGCUCUCCGAGCUGAGCUGAACUGCUCCCACGUUUUCUCUUCCUCUCCAGAACUAGGAAAUACAUCAUUUGAGGCAGGAGUUAAAUUUACAGGGGCGUCUCGUGGUGUGGCCCUGAUAUCACAUGCCAUGCUCCCGUGGAC